ACCUCGCGGACUGCUGUGGCGGCAGCUGGAGCGGCGGCCGCGGUGGCAGAACCGGGGUGGCCGCUGCAACCUGGAGCCCCGUGGUGCGGGGCCGCGGCCAGGCCACAGGAAGAGCUCGAGGCCCGGGCCGCACCGGCUGAGUGUGCGGGCCCGCGCGGCUCGGAGCCGCCGCCGCCCGUCGAGCCCCUCCGGGCGCCGAUCGGCCCGCCAUGGGGUCCCUGUUCCGGAGCGAGACCAUGUGCCUGGCGCAGCUCUUCCUGCAGUCGGGCACGGCCUACGAGUGCCUCAGCGCCCUGGGCGAGAAGGGCCUGGUCCAGUUCCGAGACCUCAACCAGAACAUAAGUUCUUUCCAAAGAAAAUUUGUUGGUGAGGUGAAGCGGUGUGAAGAGCUAGAGCGAAUAUUGGUGUAUUUGGUACAGGAAAUUAAUAGAGCUGAUAUUCCCCUUCCUGAAGGAGAGGCCAGCCCUCCUGCACCACCCCUGAAACAGGUUCUAGAAAUGCAGGAGCAGUUGCAGAAGCUCGAGGUUGAACUGAGAGAAGUCACUAAGAACAAGGAGAAACUGAGGAAAAACUUGCUGGAACUGAUAGAGUACACUCACAUGCUGAGAGUGACAAAGACCUUUGUGAAACGCAACGUUGAGUUUGAACCCACUUAUGAAGAAUUCCCUUCCUUAGAGAGCGAUUCUUUGUUGGAUUACAGCUGUAUGCAGAGGCUGGGAGCAAAACUGGGAUUUGUGUCUGGCCUAAUUAACCAAGGAAAAGUGGAAGCAUUUGAAAAAAUGUUGUGGAGAGUCUGCAAAGGGUACACCAUUGUGUCCUAUGCAGAACUGGAUGAAUCCCUCGAAGACCCUGAAACAGGGGAAGUCAUAAAAUGGUAUGUCUUUUUAAUAUCCUUUUGGGGAGAGCAGAUUGGCCACAAGGUUAAGAAGAUAUGUGAUUGCUACCACUGCCACGUGUACCCCUAUCCAAACACAGCCGAGGAGCGGAGGGAGAUCCAGGAGGGGCUGAACACCCGCAUCCAAGAUCUCUACACUGUACUGCACAAAACCGAGGACUAUUUGAGGCAAGUGCUAUGUAAAGCCGCCGAGUCUGUCUACAGCCGUGUGAUCCAGGUGAAGAAAAUGAAGGCCAUCUAUCACAUGCUGAACAUGUGCAGCUUUGACGUGACCAACAAGUGCCUCAUUGCUGAGGUCUGGUGUCCUGAGGCGGAUCUGCAGGACCUGCGCUGGGCGCUGGAGGAGGGCUCGGUAAGGCUGCCUUCCUCUCCUCUGCCAGGAACAGAAGAGAGACUGAUGGAACUGAUAAAUUCAGAGAAAAAAAGGAAGUGAGAAUUUCAUAGAGUAAUGAGAAUGCUGUGUGUUGACUCUUCUUUUGUUUUUUUAAAAUAUUAAUUAAAAAAAAUUAAAAUAGAGAUGGGGUUUUGCUGUGUUGCCCAGGCUGAUCUCAAACUCCUGGCCCCAAGCGAUCCUCCUGCCUGAG
This 1479-nucleotide small RNA is filed under the name Pongo abelii (Sumatran orangutan). RNAcentral's name for it is "retained intron". The record is from RNAcentral. Lineage: Eukaryota; Metazoa; Chordata; Mammalia; Primates; Hominidae.